This 495-nucleotide ribosomal RNA is filed under the name uncultured bacterium. Its description in RNAcentral is "partial 16S ribosomal RNA". It matches the Rfam family "Bacterial small subunit ribosomal RNA", at positions 28 to 507 of the family's 1533-position model. The record is from RNAcentral.
GACGAACGCUGGCGGCGUGCCUAAUACAUGCAAGUAGAACGCUGAAGGAGGAGCUUGCUUCUCUGGAUGAGUUGCGAACGGGUGAGUAACGCGUAGGUAACCUGCCUGGUAGCGGGGGAUAACUAUUGGAAACGAUAGCUAAUACCGCAUAAUAGUAGAUGUUGCAUGACAUUUACUUAAAAGGUGCAAUUGCAUCACUACCAGAUGGACCUGCGUUGUAUUAGCUAGUUGGUGGGGUAACGGCUCACCAAGGCGACGAUACAUAGCCGACCUGAGAGGGGGGUCGGCCACACUGGGACUGAGACACGGCCCAGACUCCUACGGGAGGCAGCAGUAGGGAAUCUUCGGCAAUGGACGAAAGUCUGACCGAGCAACGCCGCGUGAGUGAAGAAGGUUUUCGGAUCGUAAAGCUCUGUUGUAAGAGAAGAACGAGUGUGAGAGUGGAAAGUUCACACUGUGACGGUAUCUUACCAGAAAGGGACGGCUAACUACGUG